UACGUAGGGUGCAAGCGUUGUCCGGAAUUAUUGGGCGUAAAGAGCUCGUAGGCGGUCUGUCACGUCGGCUGUGAAAACCCGAGGCUCAACCUCGGGCCUGCAGUCGAUACGGGCAGACUAGAGUUCGGUAGGGGAGUCUGGAAUUCCUGGUGUAGCGGUGAAAUGCGCAGAUAUCAGGAGGAACACCGGUGGCGAAGGCGGGACUCUGGGCCGAUACUGACGCUGAGGAGCGAAAGCGUGGGGAGCAAACAGG
This 253-nucleotide ribosomal RNA is filed under the name uncultured bacterium. Its description in RNAcentral is "partial 16S ribosomal RNA". It matches the Rfam family "Bacterial small subunit ribosomal RNA", at positions 524 to 776 of the family's 1533-position model. The record is from RNAcentral.